Molecule: RNase P RNA, 357 nt
Filed under: Lachnospiraceae bacterium
Lineage: Bacteria; Bacillati; Bacillota; Clostridia; Lachnospirales; Lachnospiraceae
Description: RNase P RNA component class A
Rfam family: Bacterial RNase P class A
About the family: Ribonuclease P (RNase P) is a ubiquitous endoribonuclease, found in archaea, bacteria and eukarya as well as chloroplasts and mitochondria. Its best characterised activity is the generation of mature 5'-ends of tRNAs by cleaving the 5'-leader elements of precursor-tRNAs. Cellular RNase Ps are ribonucleoproteins.
Source: RNAcentral
UAAGUCGGACAAAUGAUCGCGGCUGCGAAGCGGGACUCCCGGAAUGAGCAGUUGAGGAAAGUCCGGGCUUCACAGGGCAGGAUGCCGGUUAACGGCCGGCGGAGGCGACUCCCGGGACAGUGCAACAGAAAGUAUACCGCCGGAUUUGAUGUCCGGUAAGGGUGGAAAGGCAGUGUAAGAGACUACCGCCGCUCCGGCAACGGAACGGGCGCUGUAAACCCCAUCCGAAGCAAGACCAAAACGUGAGAGAAAGGCGGCCCGUCAGCUCACAGGUAGGUCGCUAGAGCCUGUCGGCAACGGCAGGUCCAGAUAGAUGAUCAUUCUCGACAGAACCCGGCUUAUAGUCCGGCUUAUCCG